CCUUAGCCUCACUCUGUGGCCCUGGGUGUACAGGCUCACUCAACCCUCGUAAGAGCCAGAAAAGGGGCCGGAUGCGGUGGCUCACCCCUGUAAUCCCAGCACUUUGGGAGGCCGAGAUGGGUGGAUUGCUUGAGCCCAGGAGUUUGAGACCAGCCUGGGCAACAUAGUGAGGCCCCAUCUCUAUUAAAAUUGGUUUUAAAAAAGAGCCAGAAGUGGCAGGUGCUGUUCUCAUCCCCACUUCACAGACGAGGAACCUGAGGGUCCGAGACACAGGAAGCUGCUUGAUCCUCCAGCCAGGAUGAGGCUGAGGGAGAGCCCAGGCCAACCCGCUCUUGGAGUUUGGACUUUCAACCGCGAAUUUUCCACAACCGUAUGGAAAUGUUCGUCCAGGGGUUCUGGAAACACUCAGUCCCCAUGGUCUGUCUUCUGUUUUCCUAUUUUUGGUAAGCAUUAAAAACAAAACAAAACAAAACAAAAGCUCUUCCCUUUCCCUGUUGGUCCAUUCUGAGGAAGCGUCACCCAAUGUGGUGACAAACAGUAAGUGGCAUCAGCCCCAGCGUGGCAGUGAUAGGGCGUGGUGGGGACUGUGGCGCGGAGAGUCCCCACAGGAAAGGGAGCAGCGGCUUCACCCACAGAUGCUGCAGCAAGGAGAGCCCCGUGCCAGCUGCCCAGGCUGUUGGAUCCGUUCAGGGAUCCGGCUUGCACGUGGGCCCACGAAGGGGGUCUGCACGCAGGCAGGGUCUCUGUUCCCCGAGCGUCUAUCCCCAGCACCCACAGCAGUGCCCAGCUCAGCUAGGGUGCAAUAAAUGAUGUGUGAACUGGUGAAUUCAUGGAAAUCUCCCACUUUUUACCUAUUGGGGAUUAAUUCCAUGUUUUAAGUCUGGGCCGGCAGUGCCACGUGGUCCUCCAGGUGUGUCCUCUGUCAGGUGCUAGAGGACACCCCAAGGUCAGCAGGGGCUUCUGCUGGGUCUCUGAGCCAUUAUUCUCUCGCCUGCCUCACGUGAACACAGGUUUCCUGGGUGGAGUUUAGUUGAGAGAUCGCAGUCAUUCGCAGGAGGAAACCUGCUGCUCCCUCAGGGGUGCAGUGAGUUUCAGGCAUUAGGACGGAGCCAACACCCAGGCUUCCUAAAGCCCUGAACAUAAAUUUCUCUCAACUCCCUUUUCUUGGGAAUUAGCAAAUCAAACACUGUAUUUUUCAGUGUCUCAAAUCUUGCUUCCUUCCAGCUGAGCCCAAGGAGAGUGAAGGGCAGAGGGUGGCACAGGGUGGAGAUUUGAGAAGUUUAAUUAAAGCCUCAGGUUCAGGCGCAGGGUGAUCCUGAUCCAUCACCAAGGUGUGGCCGCUCCCACUUCAUGAAAAGACAGCCCAGCCCUGAGGAUCAGAGCCAUCUCUCAGAUGGAGGAGAAGUCAACGCCUGACAGCCUUCGCUCAUUUGACAGAUGCUUCCCCUGAAUUCUCCUCUUGGUAAUAAAGUGGUCUCCAUGGUAACUGUUGAGGCCUUGAUGAUGGAUUAGACAGGCUAUUUUUAAUCAUCCUGAAAACAAUGUUGGCAGGCAUGUAAAAUCCUUCCAGAAUCUUCCAGCUCAGCCGAGCCACCAGCAGGAUGCAACUGAGGAAGUGAACCCAGGCAACGCCACAGCAGAAGAGCCACCCAGCUGGGCCCUGCCCAAGAUCCUGACCACAGAAUUGUGAGAAAUGAUGGAUUACUGAUUUUGUUUGAAGUGACAGCAUUUUUUGGGUGGUUUGUUAAGCGGUGAGACGUGAGUCAGGACAGGUGGUACAGAUUGGGCAUGGCUGGGACUUUAGUCAGCCAGGAGAAGUUGUCCGGCAUGGCUGUCCACCGGUCUAGGACCCAGGCCACACCGCCCUGCACCUGGUUACCUGCAGCUCAUGUUAGUGCUGCCUGGCUGUGUGUGUCCCCUCUUUCUCAUUAGGUGCUUUAGUGCCCUCCUGGAAUGUCAGGAUUUAAUUUCCAUUCAGCUUUAAUAAGUCCUCCUGGACCGUGUGCUCACAACUGAAAUUAAUUUCUCCAGCCUGGCUUUGGCGAUUUUCAUCCUUAAUUCCUCUGUGUCCCCAGGGCACCUCCAAGCAUGUUGUCUUAAUUCAUCUUCUGUGAUUCAACAAAGGGAUUGUCCCAGCGUGGGGCACCCGCAUGCCAUGCACGUCUCACCGCAGCCACACCUGGGCCAGACAAAGAAAACAAGGCCCGAUGCCUGCAGCUAGCAAGUGGCAAAGCCAGCAUUUGGAUCAAAGACACACCCCCACUUUUCACCAUGGGGUGUUUCUCCUUCCUGGUCCAUCCCUAAUUACCUUAAAUCUAAUCCUCAGUUCUCU
Molecule: long non-coding RNA, 2332 nt
Filed under: Homo sapiens (human)
Lineage: Eukaryota; Metazoa; Chordata; Mammalia; Primates; Hominidae
Description: HSALNT0197543
Source: RNAcentral